RNAcentral lists this small nuclear RNA (112 nucleotides) under Necator americanus (New World hookworm). The record is from RNAcentral. Lineage: Eukaryota; Metazoa; Nematoda; Chromadorea; Rhabditida; Ancylostomatidae.
GUUCAUCCCUGAACAUAUACUAAGAUAGGAACAAUAACAACAACAAUAGAGAAGAUUAACAUGGCCCCUGGGCAAAAGACACGCAUGAAUUGGGGAAACGUUCAAAAUUUUU